RNAcentral lists this ribosomal RNA (560 nucleotides) under uncultured Variovorax sp. RNAcentral's name for it is "bacterial SSU rRNA". It matches the Rfam family "Bacterial small subunit ribosomal RNA", at positions 216 to 767 of the family's 1533-position model. The record is from RNAcentral. Lineage: Bacteria; Pseudomonadati; Pseudomonadota; Betaproteobacteria; Burkholderiales; Comamonadaceae.
CGCGAAUGGAGCGGCCGAUGGCAGAUUAGGUAGUUGGUGAGGUAAAGGCUCACCAAGCCUUCGAUCUGUAGCUGGUCUGAGAGGACGACCAGCCACACUGGGACUGAGACACGGCCCAGACUCCUACGGGAGGCAGCAGUGGGGAAUUUUGGACAAUGGGCGCAAGCCUGAUCCAGCCAUGCCGCGUGCAGGAUGAAGGCCUUCGGGUUGUAAACUGCUUUUGUACGGAACGAAACGGCCUUUUCUAAUAAAGAGGGCUAAUGACGGUACCGUAAGAAUAAGCACCGGCUAACUACGUGCCAGCAGCCGCGGUAAUACGUAGGGUGCAAGCGUUAAUCGGAAUUACUGGGCGUAAAGCGUGCGCAGGCGGUAAUGUAAGACAGUUGUGAAAUCCCCGGGCUCAACCUGGGAACUGCAUCUGUGACUGCAUUGCUGGAGUACGGCAGAGGGGGAUGGAAUUCCGCGUGUAGCAGUGAAAUGCGUAGAUAUGCGGAGGAACACCGAUGGCGAAGGCAAUNCCCCUGGGCCUGUACUGACGCUCAUGCACGAAAGCGUGGGGA